This is a long non-coding RNA of Hevea brasiliensis (rubber tree), 945 nucleotides long. RefSeq lists it as uncharacterized. The record is from RefSeq and is a predicted model, not a curated record. The transcript has 2 exons. Lineage: Eukaryota; Viridiplantae; Streptophyta; Magnoliopsida; Malpighiales; Euphorbiaceae.
UGGAGGGGUAGGGGUCGCCUUGGUCGGUGAUGGCUCAUUAUGUAAUAGUAUUAUUUUGUUCGCACGUCUUGCUUUCUUGCAUGAGAUGUCCAUUAUCAUCUCACAUGUUUUUCACGUAGAUCUUCAUAACCAUCUUGCUACACAAACUUGGUAAUAUAAAUAAAAUUGGGAACUUGAAACUCCUGAUCUUUAAAUUUACUAUUAGCUAUGAAAGUUUGAUAUCUGUGCAAUUCAAUUGCAGGCAGCAAGAACAAUUGACAAUUCAAGGUUGAGUCGUUGAGUCAUGGAGGAUCUGCUCCAAUUAGUUUUGCUUGCUCUCAGGUAGAUGUUGGCCUUUCAGAAAUGACUUGAAUAACACCAGUGAUCUCUCUGGCUGCGAGUAUGGAACCUCAUGAGAAGCGCCUCUGAUUGUAGCAAAUGACAGGAUGUUGCCAUAAACUUGAGUCCAUCCACCAACCUAAAAGGCAGAAUGGAAUCAAUAUCUGAUAUGAUUUCUCACUAAACAUGCUUGACUAGCUGUGUCUUAUGAGAAAUUCUAUUACCUGUUUUUCUGCAAACCAGGCUUUAUAAGGCGCAGUUGUGUUUAGUCCCAAGUCCUUCGCCAGUCUAUGAACAAGGGUGCGGCUACCAGUCAAUGGAAUAACAGAAUCUUGAUCUCCACUGUAUGAUUUAUGUUAUUAGAAUAUAUAACACCUCAAUAAUCUUAUUAAGGACUGGUUUAAGUUUUGAGUUUACCUGUAAACCAAAACUGGAAUUCCAGCCUUGAUAAGUGAUCCAACAAUAGAGAUUGUGGGUAUCUCUAGGUUGAGCAGCUCAUAAUCCAGAAUGCUAUGAUAAAAAAAAAAAAGCUUAUUUUUUCAAGAAACUUUACUUUUCAUAGCUAAUUAAAGCACCAGAUGGCAAUGCAAAAUUCUGUUUUGAAAAUUUCAGGAAAACUUUACAGAC